AUUGAACGCUGGCGGCAGGCCUAACACAUGCAAGUCGGACGGUAGCACAGAGGAGCUUGCUCCUCGGGUGACGAGUGGCGGACGGGUGAGUAAUGUCUGGGGAUCUGCCCGAUAGAGGGGGAUAACCACUGGAAACGGUGGCUAAUACCGCAUAACGUCGCAAGACCAAAGAGGGGGACCUUCGGGCCUCUCACUAUCGGAUGAACCCAGAUGGGAUUAGCCAGUAGGCGGGGUAACGGCCCACCUAGGCGACGAUCCCUAGCUGGUCUGAGAGGAUGACCAGCCACACUGGAACUGAGACACGGUCCAGACUCCUACGGGAGGCAGCAGUGGGGAAUAUUGCACAAUGGGCGCAAGCCUGAUGCAGCCAUGCCGCGUGUAUGAAGAAGGCCUUCGGGUUGUAAAGUACUUUCAGCGGGGAGGAAGGCAGUGAGGUUAAUAACCUUACUGAUUGACGUUACCCGCAGAAGAAGCACCGGCUAACUCCGUGCCAGCCGCCGCAGUAA
RNAcentral lists this ribosomal RNA (506 nucleotides) under uncultured bacterium. Its description in RNAcentral is "partial 16S ribosomal RNA". It matches the Rfam family "Bacterial small subunit ribosomal RNA", at positions 29 to 523 of the family's 1533-position model. The record is from RNAcentral.